Molecule: unclassified non-coding RNA, 233 nt
Filed under: Hevea brasiliensis (rubber tree)
Lineage: Eukaryota; Viridiplantae; Streptophyta; Magnoliopsida; Malpighiales; Euphorbiaceae
Source: RNAcentral
UGGUGGUCAGGAUUCAGGACAAGAUGACAGCCAGCAAGAAACCUCGUGUACACAUUGUGGCAUUAGUUCAAAAUCAACCCCGAUGAUGCGGCGUGGUCCAUCAGGCCCAAGGUCACUUUGCAAUGCCUGUGGGCUUUUUUGGGCAAACAGGGGGACUUUAAGAGAUCUAUCCAAGAAAACCCUGGAACAUUCUGCGACACCAAUUGAACAGGGUGAAGCUGAAGCAAAUGACU